CACGUAGGGCGCGAGCGUUGUCCGGAAUUAUUGGGCGUAAAGAGCUCGUAGGCGGCCUGUUGCGUCCGCUGUGAAAGCCCGGGGCUUAACCCCGGGUCGGCAGUGGAUACGGGCAGGCUAGAGGUAGGUAGGGGAGAAUGGAAUUCCCGGUGUAGCGGUGAAAUGCGCAGAUAUCGGGAGGAACACCGGUGGCGAAGGCGGUUCUCUGGGCCUUGACUGACGCUGAGGCGCGAAAGCGUGGGGAGCAAACAGG
RNAcentral lists this ribosomal RNA (253 nucleotides) under uncultured bacterium. RNAcentral's name for it is "partial 16S ribosomal RNA". It matches the Rfam family "Bacterial small subunit ribosomal RNA", at positions 524 to 776 of the family's 1533-position model. The record is from RNAcentral.